This 552-nucleotide ribosomal RNA is filed under the name uncultured Actinomycetes bacterium. RNAcentral's name for it is "bacterial SSU rRNA". It matches the Rfam family "Bacterial small subunit ribosomal RNA", at positions 97 to 642 of the family's 1533-position model. The record is from RNAcentral. Lineage: Bacteria; Bacillati; Actinomycetota; Actinomycetes.
GGCGAACUGGUGAGUAACAAGGUGACUAACGUGCCCCUGAGUGGGGGAUACCCCCGCGAAAGCGGGGCUAAUACCGCAUGAUCUCCAUGGUGCUUCGGCAUCGCGGAGUAAAGCAGUAAUGCGCUCGGGGAUCGGGUCACCUCCCAUUAGCUAGUUGGUAAGGUAAUGGCUUACCAAGGCUACGAUGGGUAGCUGGUCUGAGAGGAUGGUCAGCCACACUGGGACUGAGAUACGGCCCAGACUCCUACGGGGGGCAGCAGUCUAGAGGCUUCGUCAAUGCCCGAAAGGGUGAACGAGCGACGCCGCGUGCGGGAUGAAGGGCUUCGGCUUGUAAACCGCUUUUCUUUGGGAAGAAGGUCCGUGUCGUGAACUCGGGCUCGACGGUACCAGAGGAAUAAGCCCCGGCUAACUCCGUGCCAGCAGCCGCGGUAAGACGGAGGGGGCGAGCGUUGUUCGGAAUUAUUGGGCGUAAAGGGCGCGUAGGCGGACCGGCGGGUCCGGCGUGAAAUCUCCACCGCUCAACGGGGAGAAGCCGCUGGAAACUACCGGUCU